AUUGACGGGGGCCCGCACAAGCGGCGGAGCAUGUGGAUUAAUUCGAUGCAACGCGAAGAACCUUACCUGGGCUUGACAUGUACCGGAUCGGCGCAGAGAUGUGUCUUCCCUUGUGGUCGGUAUACAGGUGGUGCAUGGUUGUCGUCAGCUCGUGUCGUGAGAUGUUGGGUUAAGUCCCGCAACGAGCGCAACCCUUGUCCUGUGUUGCCAGCACGUUGUGGUGGGGACUCACGGGAGACUGCCGGGGUUAACUCGGAGGAAGGUGGGGAUGACGUCAAAUCAUCAUGCCCCUUAUGUCCAGGGCUUCACACAUGCUACAAUGGUCGGUACAGWGGGUUGCUACACCGUGAGGUGGUGCUAAUCUCUUAAAGCCGGUCUCAGUUCGGAUUGGAGUCUGCAACUCGACUCCAUGAAGUCGGAGUCGCUAGUAAUCGCAGAUCAGCAAUGCUGCGGUGAAUACGUUCCCGGGCCUUGUACACAC
This 481-nucleotide ribosomal RNA is filed under the name Corynebacterium nuruki. RNAcentral's name for it is "bacterial SSU rRNA". Lineage: Bacteria; Bacillati; Actinomycetota; Actinomycetes; Mycobacteriales; Corynebacteriaceae. The record is from RNAcentral.